RNAcentral lists this long non-coding RNA (210 nucleotides) under Elaeis guineensis (African oil palm). RNAcentral's name for it is "long non-coding RNA (EGUI_LNC076478)". The record is from RNAcentral. Lineage: Eukaryota; Viridiplantae; Streptophyta; Magnoliopsida; Arecales; Arecaceae.
AUAAGGAUGCAAUGCAGUGGUCUAACUCUGAGAAGUGGCUUGGAGCCAUUAAAUCCAAAUUGAAGUCUAUGAAAAUCAAUAGUGUAUGGACACUAGAUGAUUCACCUGAAGGGAUAAAACCCAUUGGCUGUGAAUGAAUUUUUUAAAAGGAUCAAAGUAGCGCAGAUAGGAAGGUGGAGACCUAUAAAGCCCAUUUCGCUAUCAUCCCAG